MicroRNA precursor from Chlorocebus sabaeus (green monkey), 58 nucleotides. Lineage: Eukaryota; Metazoa; Chordata; Mammalia; Primates; Cercopithecidae. The record is from Ensembl.
AAGUAGUUUCAUGAUAAAGGGUGUGUGGGAGGUCAACCUUUUAUCUGAAACUGCUUGA